GAAGGGGGCUAGCGUUGCUCGGAAUUACUGGGCGUAAAGGGCGCGUAGGCGGACAGUUUAGUCAGAGGUGAAAGCCCAGGGCUCAACCUUGGAAUUGCCUUUGAUACUGGCUGUCUUGAGUUCGGGAGAGGUGAGUGGAAUGCCGAGUGUAGAGGUGAAAUUCGUAGAUAUUCGGCGGAACACCAGUGGCGAAGGCGACUCACUGGCCCGAUACUGACGCUGAGGCGCGAAAGCGUGGGGAGCAAACAGGAUUAGAUACCCUGGUAGUCCACGCUGUAAACGAUGAGUGCUAGUUGUCGGCAUGCAUGCAUGUCGGUGACGCAGCUAACGCAUUAAGCACUCCGUCUGGGGAGUACGGUCGCAAGAUUA
Molecule: ribosomal RNA, 369 nt
Filed under: uncultured bacterium
Lineage: Bacteria
Description: bacterial SSU rRNA
Rfam family: Bacterial small subunit ribosomal RNA
Source: RNAcentral